UGCUUUCGAUACGGGUUGACUUGAGGAAGGUAGGGGAGAAUGGAAUUCCUGGUGGAGCGGUGGAAUGCGCAGAUAUCAGGAGGAACACCAGUGGCGAAGGCGGUUCUCUGGGCCUUUCCUGACGCUGAGGAGCGAAAGCGUGGGGAGCGAACAGGCUUAGAUACCCUGGUAGUCCACGCUGUAAACGGUGGGUACUAGGUGUGGGGUCCUUCCAGGGUUCCGUGCCGUAGCUAACGCUUUAAGUACCCCGCCUGGGGAGUACGGCCGCAAGGCUAAAACUCAAAGGAAUUGACGGGGCCCCGCACAAGCGGCGGAGCAUGCGGAUUAAUUCGAUGCAACGCGUAGAACCUUACCUGGGUUUGACAUGAUCGGGAGUGCUCAGAGAUGGGUGUGCCUCUUUUGGGGUCGGUUCACAGGUGGUGCAUGGCUGUCGUCAGCUCGUGUCGUGAGAUGUUGGGUUAAGUCCCGCAACGAGCGCAACCCUUGUUCACUGUUGCCAGCACGUUAUGGUGGGGACUCAGUGGAGACCGCCGGGGUCAACUCGGAGGAAGGUGGGGAUGACGUCAAGUCAUCAUGCCCCUUAUGUCCAGGGCUUCACGCAUGCUACAAUGGCUGGUACAGAGAGUGGCGAGCCUGUGAGGGUGAGCGAAUCUCGGAAAGCCGGUCUCAGUUCGGAUUGGGGUCUGCAACUCGACCUCAUGAAGUCGGAGUCGCUAGUAAUCGCAGAUCAGCACGCUGCGGUGAAUACGUUCCCGGGGCUCA
Molecule: ribosomal RNA, 762 nt
Filed under: uncultured Propionibacterium sp.
Lineage: Bacteria; Bacillati; Actinomycetota; Actinomycetes; Propionibacteriales; Propionibacteriaceae
Description: bacterial SSU rRNA
Rfam family: Bacterial small subunit ribosomal RNA
Source: RNAcentral